Molecule: long non-coding RNA, 334 nt
Organism: Aethalodelphis obliquidens (Pacific white-sided dolphin)
Lineage: Eukaryota; Metazoa; Chordata; Mammalia; Artiodactyla; Delphinidae
Exons: 3
Source: RefSeq, a predicted model, not a curated record
GGUACCUCAGGGAUGGACCUCAAGAACAUCUGAGCGCAAGAAGGCAGACAUGAAAGUCCGCAGUGUCCAAUUCCGUUUAUUUGAAAUGUCCACAGAAUAGGUAAGUCCACAGAGACAGAAGCCGACCGGUGGUUGCCAAGGACCUGGUGGGGGGCAGGGGGGCAGAUGGGGAGUGACUGCUAAGGGUACAGGGUCCCCUCCUGGGGCAAUGCAACUGUUUUGGAACUAGACCGAGGUGGUGGUUGCACAACACUGAGAAUGUACUGAAUGCCACUGAAGUGUUUACGUUAAAAUGGUUAAUUUUUCAUUAUGGGUGUUGAACCUCAAAAGCAAC